GCUACGGGUGGCAGCAGUGGGGAAUAUUGCACAAUGGGGGAAACCCUGAUGCAGCGACGCCGCGUGAGUGAAGAAGGAUUUCGGUACGUAAAGCUCUAUCAGCAGGGAAGAAAAUGACGGUAACUGACCAAGAAGCCCCGGCUAACUACGUGCCAGCAGCCGCGGUAAUACGUAGGGGGCAAGCGUUAUCCGGAUUUACUGGGUGUAAAGGGAGCGUAGACGGCAGCGCAAGUCUGGAGUGAAAUGCCGGGGCCCAACCCAGGAACUGCUUUGGAAACUGUGCAGCUGGAGUGCAGGUGAGGUAAGCGGAAUUCCUAGUGUAGCGGUGAAAUGCGUAGAUAUUAGGAGGAACACCAGUGGCGAAGGCGGCUUACUGGACUGUAACUGACGUUGAGGCUCGAAAGCGUGGGGAGCAAACAGGAUUAGAUACCCGAGUAGUC
This 440-nucleotide ribosomal RNA is filed under the name uncultured bacterium. RNAcentral describes it as "partial 16S ribosomal RNA". It matches the Rfam family "Bacterial small subunit ribosomal RNA", at positions 338 to 795 of the family's 1533-position model. The record is from RNAcentral.